Molecule: ribosomal RNA, 1428 nt
Filed under: Salmonella enterica
Lineage: Bacteria; Pseudomonadati; Pseudomonadota; Gammaproteobacteria; Enterobacterales; Enterobacteriaceae
Description: partial 23S ribosomal RNA
Rfam family: Bacterial large subunit ribosomal RNA
Source: RNAcentral
UGUGUUCCAGGUAAAUCCGGUUCACUUUAACACUGAGGCGUGAUGACGAGGCACUACGGUGCUGAAGCAACAAAUGCCCUGCUUCCAGGAAAAGCCUCUAAGCAUCAGGUAACAUCAAAUCGUACCCCAAACCGACACAGGUGGUCAGGUAGAGAAUACCAAGGCGCUUGAGAGAACUCGGGUGAAGGAACUAGGCAAAAUGGUGCCGUAACUUCGGGAGAAGGCACGCUGACACGUAGGUGAAGUGAUUUACUCAUGGAGCUGAAGUCAGUCGAAGAUACCAGCUGGCUGCAACUGUUUAUUAAAAACACAGCACUGUGCAAACACGAAAGUGGACGUAUACGGUGUGACGCCUGCCCGGUGCCGGAAGGUUAAUUGAUGGGGUCAGCGCAAGCGAAGCUCCUGAUCGAAGCCCCGGUAAACGGCGGCCGUAACUAUAACGGUCCUAAGGUAGCGAAAUUCCUUGUCGGGUAAGUUCCGACCUGCACGAAUGGCGUAAUGAUGGCCAGGCUGUCUCCACCCGAGACUCAGUGAAAUUGAACUCGCUGUGAAGAUGCAGUGUACCCGCGGCAAGACGGAAAGACCCCGUGAACCUUUACUAUAGCUUGACACUGAACAUUGAGCCUUGAUGUGUAGGAUAGGUGGGAGGCUUUGAAGUGUGGACGCCAGUCUGCAUGGAGCCGACCUUGAAAUACCACCCUUUAAUGUUUGAUGUUCUAACGUGGACCCGUGAUCCGGGUUGCGGACAGUGUCUGGUGGGUAGUUUGACUGGGGCGGUCUCCUCCUAAAGAGUAACGGAGGAGCACGAAGGUUGGCUAAUCCUGGUCGGACAUCAGGAGGUUAGUGCAAUGGCAUAAGCCAGCUUGACUGCGAGCGUGACGGCGCGAGCAGGUGCGAAAGCAGGUCAUAGUGAUCCGGUGGUUCUGAAUGGAAGGGCCAUCGCUCAACGGAUAAAAGGUACUCCGGGGAUAACAGGCUGAUACCGCCCAAGAGUUCAUAUCGACGGCGGUGUUUGGCACCUCGAUGUCGGCUCAUCACAUCCUGGGGCUGAAGUAGGUCCCAAGGGUAUGGCUGUUCGCCAUUUAAAGUGGUACGCGAGCUGGGUUUAGAACGUCGUGAGACAGUUCGGUCCCUAUCUGCCGUGGGCGCUGGAGAACUGAGGGGGGCUGCUCCUAGUACGAGAGGACCGGAGUGGACGCAUCACUGGUGUUCGGGUUGUCAUGCCAAUGGCACUGCCCGGUAGCUAAAUGCGGAAGAGAUAAGUGCUGAAAGCAUCUAAGCACGAAACUUGCCCCGAGAUGAGUUCUCCCUGAGACUUUAGGUCUCCUGAAGGAACGUUGAAGACGACGACGUUGAUAGGCCGGGUGUGUAAGCGCAGCGAUGCGUUGAGCUAACCGGUACUAAUGAACCGUGAGGCUUAACCUUACA